GGUUUGAUUAUGGCUCAGAUUGAACGCUGGCGGGAUGCUUUACACAUGCAAGUCGAACGGCGGCACGGACUUCGGUCUGGUGGCGAGUGAGCGAACGGGUGAGUAAUGUAUCGGAACGUGCCUAGUAGCGGGGGGAUAACUACGCGAAAGCGUAGCUAAUGCCACAUACGCCCUUCGAGGGGAAAGCGGGGACCUUCAGCCUCGCACUAUUAGAGCGGCCGAUAUCCGGAUUAGCUAGUUGGUGGGGUAACGGCUCGCAAGGCGACGAUCAAUAGCUGGUUUGAGAGGACGACCAGCCACACUGGGACUGAGACACGAGCUGAACUCCUACGGGAGAGCAGCAGUGGGGAAUUUUGGACAAUGGAAACCCUGAUCCAGCCAUCCCGCGUGUGCGAUGAAGGCCUUCGGGUUGUAAAGCACUUUUUGGCAGGAAAGAAACGGCACGGGAUAAUACCCCAAUGCAACUGACGAACACCUGCAGAAUAAGCACCGGCUAACUACGUGCCAGCAGCCGCGGUAAUACGUAGGGUGCAAGCGUUAAUCGGAAUUACUGGGCGUAAAGCGUGCGCGAGCGGUUCGGAAAGAAAGAUGUGAAAUCCCAGAGCUUAACUUUGGAACUGCAUUUUUAACUACCGAGCUAGAGUGUGUCAGAGGGAGGGUGGAAUUCCCGCGUGUAGCAGUGAAAUGCGUAGAUAUGCGGAGGAACACCGAUGGCGAAGGCAGCCUCCUGGGAUAACACUGACGCUCAUGCACGAAAGCGUGGGGAGCAAACAGGAUUAGAUACCCUGGUAGUCCACGCCCUAAACGAUGUCAACUAGCUGUUGGGGCCUUCGGGCCUUGGUAGCGCAGCAGCAUUGAUUGGCCGCCUGGGUACGGUCGCAAGAUUAAAGCUCAAAGGAAUUGACGGGGACCCGCACAAGCGGUGGAUGAUGUGGAUUAAUUCGAUGCAACGCGAAAAACCUUACCUACCCUUGACAUGUCUGGAAUCCCGAAGAGAUUUGGGAGUGCUCGCGAGAGAGCCGGAACACAGGUGCUGCAUGGCUGUCGUCAGCUCGUGUCGUGAGAUGUUGGGUUAAGUCCCGCAACGAGCGCAACCCUUGUCAUUAGUUAUACGAAGGGCACUCUAAUGAGACUGCCGAUGACAAACCGGAGGAAGGUGGGGAUGACGUCAAGUCCUCAUGGCCCUUAUGGGUAGGGCUUCACACGUCAUACAAUGGUCGGGACAGAGGGUCGCAACCCGCGAGGGGAGCCAAUCCCGAAACCCGAUCAUCAAUCCGGAUCGCAGUCUGCAACUCGACUGCGUGAAGUCGGAAUCGCUGGUAAUCGCGGAUCAGCAUGUCGCGGUGAAUACGUUCCCGGGUCUUGUACACACCGCCCAGUCACACCAUGGGAGUGGGUUUUACCAGAAAUAGUUAGCCUAACCGUAAGGAGGGCGAUUACCACGGUAAGUUCAUGACUGGGGUGAGAAGUCAGCGGCUUUAAGGUAACCUGUUACUACACACGGGUAACUCCCGAG
This 1516-nucleotide ribosomal RNA is filed under the name uncultured Bordetella sp. RNAcentral describes it as "partial 16S-23S ribosomal RNA intergenic spacer". It matches the Rfam family "Bacterial small subunit ribosomal RNA". Lineage: Bacteria; Pseudomonadati; Pseudomonadota; Betaproteobacteria; Burkholderiales; Alcaligenaceae. The record is from RNAcentral.